Molecule: ribosomal RNA, 102 nt
Filed under: unidentified eubacterium OS-C'
Lineage: Bacteria; Bacillati; Chloroflexota; Chloroflexia; Chloroflexales; Chloroflexaceae
Description: partial 16S ribosomal RNA
Rfam family: Bacterial small subunit ribosomal RNA
Source: RNAcentral
UGGGGCGACACACACGCUACAAUGGCGCCGACAAUGCGUCGUACGGCAAGCGGAUGCCAAUCGCCAAACGGCGCCCCAGUGCAGAUNGGGGGCUGCAACUCG